This is a non-coding RNA of Pelobates cultripes (western spadefoot toad), 206 nucleotides long. The record is from the annotation of a GenBank genome assembly. NCBI's taxonomy places the organism in Eukaryota, Metazoa, Chordata, Amphibia, Anura, Pelobatidae.
UGUAUUUCUAUUUUCAACCAUUGUGCAAAAAGUUUGCCGUAACUUGUGAUAUGUAUUGGGUGUUGAAACAUUCCUAGAACACAUAAGCAUAGAGACAACUUGAUCUGGAAGACCUUACAUAGUUUUCCUCAGUACUGAUGGUAUGAGGGGAAUAUAUUAGUCUGAUCGAACGACCAAUCCACAGAGAGAGCAUCCCGGAACCUGAG